This 452-nucleotide ribosomal RNA is filed under the name Escherichia coli. RNAcentral describes it as "bacterial SSU rRNA". It matches the Rfam family "Bacterial small subunit ribosomal RNA", at positions 156 to 603 of the family's 1533-position model. The record is from RNAcentral. Lineage: Bacteria; Pseudomonadati; Pseudomonadota; Gammaproteobacteria; Enterobacterales; Enterobacteriaceae.
ACGGUAGCUAAUACCGCAUAACGUCGCAAGACCAAAGAGGGGGACCUUCGGGCCUCUUGCCAUCGGAUGUGCCCAGAUGGGAUUAGCUAGUAGGUGGGGUAACGGCUCACCUAGGCGACGAUCCCUAGCUGGUCUGAGAGGAUGACCAGCCACACUGGAACUGAGACACGGUCCAGACUCCUACGGGAGGCAGCAGUGGGGAAUAUUGCACAAUGGGCGCAAGCCUGAUGCAGCCAUGCCGCGUGUAUGAAGAAGGCCUUCGGGUUGUAAAGUACUUUCAGCGGGGAGGAAGGGAGUAAAGUUAAUACCUUUGCUCAUUGACGUUACCCGCAGAAGAAGCACCGGCUAACUCCGUGCCAGCAGCCGCGGUAAUACGGAGGGUGCAAGCGUUAAUCGGAAUUACUGGGCGUAAAGCGCACGCAGGCGGUUUGUUAAGUCAGAUGUGAAAUCCC